Long non-coding RNA from Homo sapiens (human), 12970 nucleotides. RefSeq lists it as uncharacterized. NCBI's taxonomy places the organism in Eukaryota, Metazoa, Chordata, Mammalia, Primates, Hominidae. The record is from RefSeq and is a predicted model, not a curated record. The transcript is spliced from 2 exons.
UGUAUAUGUGUGUGUGUAUAAUUGGAUACAUAUGUGUUUAAUAUAAAAUUAAAUCUAAUUAUAUGCAACAUGUCACUUCCAUAGUUUUUUGGUGAGAAGCUUUAAAAUCUACUCUUUAAGCAAUUUUGAAAUAUACAAUACAUUAUUAUUAACUAUGGUCAGCAUGUUAUGCAAUAGAUCACUGAAUCUUAUUCCUCCUGUCUAACUGGAAGUGAAAUAAGCCAGGCACAGAGAACAAAGGCUUUUGAAAUAGCUGUCUUUGACUCAUGGUCAAAGUCACUCUGUCCUCAUUUUAGCAAACCCAUCGUACCACAGCCAAGGAGCUGGCCGGGGCCUCAUACUGUCACUUGUUUCGGAUAGCUGAGCUUCAAUUCUGUCCGUAGCCUUGUUUUACAUCUCGAACCACAGUUUCGACAACUCAGUCCUUCUGUUUCCGGAGUGCCUUGUCUAGGCUUCCUAUUUCUCCAGGUGCUUGCAACCCUCCAGGACUGGUUGUUGUCCUUAAAUUCCUUCUCAAUUACUAGAAUUUUCCUACUUAAAGACCCUUCCUACUUCUGUGACACUGAUUUUCCCUCCACAUGGUCACAAGCUAUUGAAGGGGUGGCUUCGGAUACCUGCUGAAAAACCCACAUUCAUUCAUUUUGCACCUUUUGAGGCUCUGGGCCUCAGGUCAUAUCCUGAGGAGAGUGUUGUCUAACUAUUGGCUUUUUUCUGUAGUGCUGCUGCUAUGUGGGUGGCUGCUCCCAGCAUAUUCAUCUGACAGCGUGAUAAAUGGUGUGUUGUCUAGGGGACAGGCCUAGGCUGAGAUGUGAGCUACUAGUUUAGAGCUUGUCAACCGAGACAUGGAGUUUUGAAGCCAUCCAGGGAGAGGGUGACUGAGUAGCUGAGAGGGCUGUCGCAGGGUUGAUGGGGACAUUGAGAGCCAGGGGUGUGCCAGGAACAGGAUCUGGAAAGGAAUAGAGGAGCCAUGAUGGGGAGAAGAGAGCCAGUGAGGGUACACUGCUGUAGGGAGGGUUUCCAGGGUUUCCAGAGGGUGUGGACAGAAUGGCUCAAAAGCCAUGUCAAGGGACAGAAUACUGUUGGUGUGCCUCAGUUGGAAAGAGCCCAGAGAUGAGCUGGCCAGUGGGUUCUGUUGGUAAGUAGUCAUGUGACCUCUGCCAAGCCAUUAUUCUCUUUGUGCCUCCAUUUCUUGGGCAAAGGGAGGAGGCUGGACUAAGUGAACUCAAGUUAGUCUUUAUGGCUCUAAGAGGACACUGUCAUAGUGGACACAAGACCCGGCGGGCGCCAUCACCUCUCCUUUAUCACUCUCCCACUAGAGCCCCUUGGAGGGCUGGGCGCGGCCCCCAUGCUCUGUCUGGCUUCUUCCUCUCCCUCACACUCCCCGCUCUCUCCUUCACUCUCUGUGCUCCUGAUGCCACUUACACUCUGUCCUUCCCCACUCAAUUAGAAAUCCUGGCUAAUACAAUUAGACAAAAUACUACAUAACAAUAAGGUAAACAUGAGAGGGAGAAAGAAAAUUCUAAUUAUCUGCAGAUGACCAUACUAUCUAUACAAAUAAACUGGGAGUCUCAGAUCAACUAACAGAACUCAUAAGAGAGCCCACCACGACUGCAGGAUCAAUAUAAAAACAAUAGUAUUCUUAUGCAUCAACAUUGACCAAUUAGAAAAGGUAAUUUUAAAAAUUACUGUUUAAAAAUUUUCUCCCCCAGCAGCCUAGACAUCCUGUUGCGUGCAUACUGGUGCCCAGGUAAUGUAAACAGGAGAACAGUUAAGAUCCUGCUGGUCGGUUGCCUGGAUCUGGUGGUCUCUUCUUGCACCAAAGCCAUCUUGUUUUAAAGUUACAGGUUUCUAGGAAGACUUAGUGUCUGGGAGGCCAAGUACCUCUUCUUGUUCAGAAUGUUUUUAGCUCACUUUUUAUUACGGAUCAGUUUGUCAUGUUCAAUGAAAAGUCCAUUUGGGUUCUGGAUUUAAAUUAUAUUGAAUUUCUAAAUUUUUGUUAUGAAAGAUAUUUAAAGCCUAAGAAUUAAUGAAAGGGUCGUGUAUAAAACAUCCAGAAAUAUGCUCUUUUUGUGUUUCGUCUUUUCAUCAAAUGGCAUGGCAUGUCUAUCAAAGAAUUCUGAUUACUUUUUGUUCCUUCGGAGACUCUUUUUUUUCUUCAUAAAAUCAAUAAUAAUUUUCGUUAGACUCAAUCUUAGGUACCUAAAGUCUUUUUGUUGUUUUAUAAACAGAAUUUUAAAAAUUACCUUUGCUAAUUGGUCGGUGUUUAUAUAUAAGAAUACUAUUGUUUUUAUGUUGACCUUACAGUGUCCGUGGGCUCUUCUGGGUUCUGUUAGUUGAUCUGAGACUCUCAAUUUAUUUGUAUAGAAUUUUCUUUCUCCCUUUCAUAUCCUUAAUUUACCUUAUUCUGAUGUAGUAUUUUGUCUAAUUAUUUUAGCCAGGAUUUCUAAUUGAGUGGGGCAGGACAGAGUGUAAGUGGCAUCAGAUGUUUAACUUGAUGGGAACAUGGAAGAUUCCAGUAAUACAAUGUUUGCUUUAUCAUUGUUACUAUUUAUAAUAGAACCAAUUAAUCAGGAUAAGGUCCUUUUGUCUGUCUGGAAUGUUCUUGUCCCCAGGUUGCAUGUCCUUAGAACGAUCUUUCCUGACCCCUAUCUGUCACUUCAUAAGGCAACAUCACUCACCUUGCUUGAGUGUUUCCAUGGCACUUAGGGCAACUUAUAGAACCUUAAAUUACAGGACACACCCCUCUCUUUGUUUAUUGAUUGUCUGCUGCUGGAACAUAAACUUCUGGGCAGGGACAUGACUGUCUCUCCAGUAUCCUAUCCUUACCCUUAGCAGAAUGCUGUCCAGCCAUUGGCAGCCAGUAGCUUCUCAUUUCAUAUGUUCAUUGACAGAUGACUGUAUUUUCAUCUUCAGGACUACCCAGAGAUUGGACAAUUUUCUAGAAGAACCCACGGAACUUGUGACAGCCGUUAUCGCUGUGAUUAGGGAUUGCUACAUGGGGAGAAUACAGAUGCACUUUGGCAAAGAGAAGAGCCCAGGAAAACCGCCAGACAUGGAGCCCCUGUUGUCCUCUCUCUGUGGAGUCAUGGCUGGUGCUGCUCUCCUACAACCACAUGUCACAAUGGCCAAAGAGAAUUAUCUAUUGCCGAAGCUCAACUGAGCCUUUGAUGUUCAGAGUUCUCCACUGGGGCUCAAUCACGUCCUGCCUGCACAGCUGACCUUUAGUCUCCAGCCUUCCGAAGGUGAGGCUGACACUUUUAUUCUCCAGUCCCUCUGGAGGUAGCACUGACAUCACAGGGCUCUAAGUUCCCAUCAUAAACCACAUUCAGACUGUCCUGGGGUCUAAGCCCCCAGAUAAAUAAACACACUCUUCUCGGGCAGGACAUUCCAAGGGCCUAGGUCACCUUCCAGCAGUUGAGGGCAAGGCCAGACCUCAUAUAAGGUUAACUCUAAACUGUACAGUGGCUUGAGUGUAGCUCAUAGUCAGCAACAUGCACCAAGCACAGACAGCUAGCACGUGCAUGGUCUGGACCCAGUGCCAGACCCUGUUCUGAGUGCUUCCCUUACAUGACUUCACUCAUUCGUUUAUGAGCGGGGCACCAUCCUACCCCAGCUUUCCAAGUGCAGAGACGAAGGCACAGGAGGGAGGCUGAAGUACAAAGGAAUUUGAGCCCAAGGGGUCUGCCUCCUGAGGCUGGCUCUCAGCCAGGAGACCUGUGCUUCUCAAACGGGAGCGAUUGCACCCCCCGGGGACAUGUGAUUGUGUCAGGAAACAUCUUCCAUUUGUCACAGCUUGGUCGGGUAUGGGGGAAUGCUACUGUCAUCUCGCGGGCAGAAGCUGGGGAUGCUGCUAAUCACCAUACAACGCACAGGGCAAAGAAUUAUGCAGCCCAGUUCCGAGCCUGAGAAGCCGCAUAUCACCCAACAUGGCCUCUCUGUAAUGCCUUUUAAAUAACCAGCUCUUAAGCCCUCAGUGAGCAGAACUGUAUGAAGUUGCCACGGCACGACUGAAGAGUGAUGUUGGCAGUUUUGAUCAGGAAAGAGGAGUAAUUUUUCAGUGUGUGCCCCUGAGAAAGUAUAGGCAACAACAAGGGUGGGGACCCUGGGUGUGGGUCAACAACCUGGUUUGGGAGGAGUCACUGGGAAAAUAAGGAAAAUGGAGCGAAAAAGACCCCAAACCUUCAAGAGAUUUGCCCUCACAGGUUUUGACUGUAAGGGGUGGGGUUUUCCAAACGUCAUUAUUUUAGUUCGGCACAAACCACCCCCAUCCCGAAGGUUCCCUCUGCUCUGUGCUACUGGCACUCAACCCAGCUGAUGCCAUUCCACGUAGCUGCCUCCCAGAUGAAAACUCUUUUAAAACAAUAUAACCUCUGAGUGAAGUCUGCGCAGUAACCUGCAGAGUUUCUGGCUCCCGGAGUUCGGGGCAGCAUUUGCAUUUGACAGGGAAGUCUUUUUGGUCUGCCUCUUGCCUGACUGCCUUGUGAAAUGCCUUUCAUUUGUGCUUCCAAUUCCCCAUUGAUAGAGCUGUUAGGAUGGCUGUGAGGGUGAUGCUGCGAUUGUGUUUCAUUUUUCUGAAUGGUUUAAAAAUACAUGAGCAUGUUGAACUCAAAAUUAGCAGAGGAGUAUGUUUUCUCUGUCCUGGUGCAUCUAGUAAGUGGGAUCAUUUUUAUUUUUAAGAAAUCAGUGGCAGAGUGUAUCUCUCCCUCUCUGUCCAGCUCAAUUACACAACACAGCAAGGAUUUCUACCCAUAAUUGCUGUGGCGCCCACCAGUCCCACCGGAAGGAACAGGGAAGCUUGGAAUUCCAGAAUGUGUUUAUUGGAGUCCUGUCACUGAUUUCAAAAAGAGCAGUCAUUUGUCCCAUGGGUAGACAUUGGAUCUGUUUCUAGUGCUGCUGUAACUAAGCCUCUUUCAAGUUGUGUUCCAUGGCUUAGAACAAAUAGAAGAUAUUUAUUGUCUCAGCUCUGGAGGUCAGAAGUCUGCAGAAGUCUGAAAUCACAGUGUCAGCAGGGCUGUAUUCUUUUGGAAGACUCUAGAGGAGAAUCCUCCCCUGCCUCUUCCAUCUUCUGGUGUCACUGGUAUUCCUUGGCUUGCAGACACAUCACUCCAUCUCUGCCUCCGUCUUCACGUGGUAGCUCCUCUGUGGCUCUUCUCCUCUUCUUAUAGUGACACCAAUCAUAUUGGAUUACAACCACCCUAAUGACCUCAUCUUAAUUGGAUGACAUCUGCAAAGACCCUGUUUCCAAAUAAGGUUACAGUCACAAGUACUGGGGUUUAGGACUUGAAGCUAUCUUUUCAGGGGACACAGUUCAACUCCUAACUGACAACGGUUCCCUAAGUGGGUGCUCUCUGGUAGUAGGACAGGCAUUUCCAUCUUGUGGAGUGCUGCUCUGAGGUUCACUCCUCCUUCUUAGAUUUGGAAAUUGCUCUUGAUGUUGACUUUCCCUUAACCUUCAAAUCCACCUUGAAAUUAAAUGUGGGCUAUGAAAGUUUUGAGGCUUUUAUCAGGUUGGUGCAAAAGUAAUUGGGGUUUUUGCCAUUAUACAAACCUGUUUCUCUAAGGAAUUAGAGACGUUCUUGUGUGUGAAUAUCAUGUUGAAACAAAUAAACACUCAUGAAUGUAAAGAGAAAAUAACUGGUCCAAUCACAUUGCUGUGUAAAUAAACAGAGUGCUGUCAAGGCAUGUUAGCAUGCUAGAUGUUGUUGAUUUAUCUCUGCCCUUCCUGUCAUGGAAGUGUUUCUUGUUGGUUCUUACAUUCAUGGCAUUGAUUAAAUCCUUCUUGCCUGUUACAUUAAAACAAACAAACAAACAAACAAAAAAACAAAACUUUGACUCACUUUGUAAACCCUAAGCUUUUAAGUGAUGUUUUAUUUGAUGAUUUUGUUUUUCUUUCUUUUUUUUUUAAUUGAGAUGGGGGUCUUGCUAUAUUGCCCAGGUUGGUUUUGAACUCUUGGCCGCAAGCAAUCUUCCUGCCUCAGCCUCCCAAAGUGUUGGGAUUGCAAAUGUGAGCCACCGUGCCCAGCCUGUUUAAUGAUUUUCUGACAAGCACGGAUCCACUUCAUCUCAGCUGAUAAUUACUGACUUAGGACCCUCCUCUGAGAUGGUUUUUUUUCAGGCAGGUUGGAUUGCCUGGAAUGUCUUCUGCUCAUUCAUGGGCUUAAAGAGCCAUCAGUGUGGUCAGGAAGGAUAGGAAAGCUGACCCACAUUUGCAUCUGACUCCAGCUUUCUGCAUUUCUCUUGUACUAAAGCUCAUUGAAUAGAGUUCAACAGAAACUUUUAUUCCUGACAACCCCAUUUCAGCCUUGGCAGGGAGACCAUACUGAAGUUAUUUUACAGAUUUGUUAAAUUACCACCAACUCGAAAGGCUAACAUUUUUCUCUAGGAAGGAGAGCCUUUCUUUGUCCUGUUACCUAAAAGGAUGUCAGACAUUCAGCAUGUGCAUAUGUGUCCUUUCUUACAAAAAUAGGACAUCAGUGUGCAAACAUCUUUUUUUAUUGAAAAUGAGCGAAAAUGAAAGAAAAUAAAGGCCUCUCUUAGCCUUUGAACUGGUGCAGAAUCCUUUUGCUUUUCCUCUAGUGCAGUCACUUGGAAUGCGACCAAAGAAUGUAUUUACCACUGGAAGAACCGAGUAGCAUAUGAAUGAAAGUAGAAAAAUGCAACCUAGAAAGCCUGUCUCUGUGCACCCAAGAAACUCUUCUCUGUGUGCUGCUGUGUGCCAGGAUGAUUUUUCAGUGUGGGCAUUUGGACUUACUAUGAAGAAGCACACACCUAAGAAAAAUUAAACAGUAAUUAAAAUUAUUUCCAUUAACAAUAAAGAGGAGGAUAUGUUUUUGUUGUUUAAUAACCACACCUAUCCUGAUGACACCUGUGCAUUUGAGGGAAGUGCAGCUGAGCUGGGCUCAGCCUGCAGUGUGUUUAUUGGGAGACCUCCAUGUUUCUGGCUCUUUGGAGCAGAGGAGGCAUUUCUGAGUUAUCCCUACUGUGAGUUCCCAGCCAGAGCGUUGAGAAACCAAACUGGCUGAUGUGGUUUGGCUCUUUCCCUACCCAAAUCUCAUUUUGAAUUGUAGCUCCCAUAGUCCCCAUGUGUCUUGGGAGGGACCUGGUGGGAGGUAAUUGAAUCAUGGUGGAUCUUUGCCAUGUUGUUCUGGUGAUAGUGAGUAAGUCUUAUGAGAUCUGAUGGUUUUAUAAAGGAAGGGGAGAUCCCCUGCACACACUCUCUUGCCUGCCACCAUGUAAGACGUGACUUUGCUCCUCAUUUGCCUUCUGCCAUGAUUGUGAGGCCUUUCCAGCCAUGUGGAACUGUGAGUCCAUUAAACCUCUUUUCUUUAUAAAUUACCCAGUCUCGGGUAUGUCUUUAUUAGCAGCGUGAGAACAGACUAAUACACUGGCUUGGCUGUCCCUCGAGCUGAGGAUUUACCCUAACCCUCACUUAGGCCUUCCCAGAUCUGAUCUUGCUUGAAUGGACAAUUCUGUUGGUCUUUCUGGAACAUUCUCUCUGCUCCUCCUUUUCUCUGUACUGCUUUUCUUAAGAGGAGCAUGGGCUCCGGUACUGAAAAUUGGCAUCAUGACUAAACUGUCCUCUGGCCUGCACACAGACUUUGUGAUUCUCCUCCCACCCCCAUCUCUACAGCCAAUGUGUGUUAAGGAGUCCGAUGUAAAUUAUUUGGAUAAUGGAUACCCUAAAACCCUGAUUCACCAUUAUGCAAUUUAUGUGUGCAACAAGAUUACACUUGUACCCCAUAACUUUGUACAAAUAAAAAUAAAUACUCUGUGGUCUUUGAGACAUUUUUGCUUGCUGCUCUGUUCCCAGUGCACAACACAGCACCACACACGUAGUGAUCACAUCGCAAAAAUUGUGGGAACAAAUGAGUGUACAAAUACUGCAUCUGUGCACUUGCCCCUUCUACCGUAGAAUGAUCAGAGUCACUUCCAAGGUCCUCCAGUAGCAGGCACCAUGUGGUUACUUUGCAUACACAACUUAUUUGAUCUGUAUAACCCUGUGAGGUAAAUACUAUUAUCACUUGCAUCUUGCUGAUGAAAAAAUUGAAGCCCAGAAAAGUUAACCAACUUCCUCAAAGUCACACAGUGAGGAAGAGGACCAGAAUUUGGACUUGGCAUUCUGCCACCAUCACAUGGAAUGUCCAGAUGCCCACUGUCAUUGGUGACUAGGGUGUCCCCCUCCUGUUGUGCCCUGGCACAUGACAGAUUAUUGUGUGAUGUGAAAGGGACAUAUUUGUGAAUCUGGAUUGUUCUAUUUGAACCACUUUUGGGUUGAUGUUAUUUGGAAAAACUUCGUGGGGAGGGAGCAGUUUCUGCAGAGAUGCCAAAAAUAUGGUACUGUCACUGUUUCGAAUUGCCAGAUGAUAUUUCCAUUUGGAGGUAUUUUUCACUCCUCACAUGAAUCAAUAAGAGAAAUAGGACUAACUUAGCCCAAGGAAUAAUAAUAGCCCAUGUAUGUAUUAGGCAGCAUUACUGUUGGGGAAUCAACUAAAACUGAAAUUCUACUUUCUCCUAAAGAGAUUUAUUAUACAUAGAGUCCUUAUAAUUGUACCUCUUUGUGCUGGUUUUCUCAUCUGGGUCUGCCCUAGCUCCUAUAUGCCUGUCCUUGGCCUCAUUCCUCCCUGUAGGAAAACCUCAUCAGGUGCAAAGGGCACUGGAAGGGCAUUCACUAGGAUGCCACACAGGGUUCAAUCCAGCCACUCGCCAGCUUCUCCCUGUGCGGUGCCAGCCAUGGGUCCUGUGACCUCCCUUGAAGCCUGCCCAGUGCUGCUCACUGUCUCGAGAGCCCCAGACCUAUGUGUGCAGCUCUCAGGGCAUCUGGAAGAGCCUCCUAGGGAAGGCAACACAAGGGCGCAACAAGGAGGUGUGAGUGGGGUCUGGGAUUUGCAGUGUUUUCCUGAAAGAGCUGGACUUUUACAAGGGAGGAAAAAUGUUCUCUGAGUUUCCCAAACAUCUGUUUUUGACUUAGUUUCAAUGGAGGUGUUUUUGAUGGCGGCUAUCUUAGGGCUUCUGCAUCAUCUCCCUUGUGUUUGUCAUGGAAUUCCAACUACUCGAGCAUUAAGUCUUGGAUGCUGUUGUUCUAUCCCAAGAAACAUUCUUAAGAGAAUUUGUGACGAAUACAACUUCGUCUCCAUCAGAACAGAGCUGUGUAUAUGUACCCAUGCAGGCAUGCAGAGAACCUGCUGGAAUGUAAGAGAGUGAAUUAUAGACUUCAGGCUAGAGCAGCAAAUUCUCAGGAAAAAAUAAAUUCAGAGUUUAAAUUAUUUCCUGUGAAAAGUUGCUAAGCAACACUUCACUAAACUCUGGUAUUCUGUAUUUCAAAUAUAUUUUUUCUUAGCAGCAACUAAUAUUAUUUUCACUCAAGUCGUAAAGGGAGGAGUGAAGUACACACCUGCAAAUCCAAUAAAGGCAUUUGCCUGCCGGAGGCUUCACAGUAAACUUUUAGAUUCAUGCUGAAUAAGUAUGGGGGAAAGCAGUUGAAUAUUUUAUACUAUCAUGGUAUUUUUUUCUUGCUCUCUACAUUUGCAGUGCUUUGUUAAUGUGUGUUUCCCAUUGGAACUGUAAUUUUCCUAUUUGUAGAAUGAGUUUGGGUAUUAACAGGUACUGUAGAUUUUAAUUAACUCAUUGCUGUACCAUCAGCUUCCCAUCAGGCCCAGCCUUUGUGUCAUCUUGCUCACAACUGGUAUUCCCAACCCCCAGGCGAGAAACAAGCAUGUGACUCAGAGGCGAGGUAGUAAAGUCCCUGGAAGAGUUGCCAGAGAUGAGGUGGAGAGGCCCCAUCCUGCAUAAGGAAAGUCCAUUUCAUUAUUUUAAACACUGCUCUGGCCAGACAGCUUACCUUCUAUUUUUGUCCAAAGAUUAGUGCCCUCUAAUAGGAGUUUUAGCCAGAAUAAAACAUUUCUCUGAGUUAAAAGUGAAUAUUGAGUUCUCAUCGUUUACUUUUUAGAACUAUUUGGCCUUUGUCUUAGUCCAUUUUGCUGCUAUAACAAAAUACCACAGACUGGGUAAUUUAUAAAUAAUAGAGAUUUAUUUCUCUCAAUUCUGGAGGUUAGGAAGUCCAAGAUCAAGGCACCGGCAGAUUUGGUGUCUGGCGAGAAUGGCUCUCUGCUCCCAAGACAGUCUUGUUGCUGUGUCCUCACAUGUCAGAAGAGAUGGAAAGACCAGGCAGCUAUCUAAGCACUCCAAGGGUAUUAAUUUCAUUUAUGAGGGCGGAGUUGUCAGGUCCUAAUCACCUCCUAAAGGCCCCACCUCUUAACACUGUUGCACUGGGGAUUAAGUUUCAACUUGAAUUUUGGAGAGGGCAUAAACAUGUAAACCAUGGCAGCCUUGGAUUGGAGUUUGUGAGUUUGUAAUCAUUUCCGGAUCUUAGCUUCAGCACCAUAAGCAUGCAGAUGUUGGUAUUUCUCUCUGCUUGUGGACCAUCCCUGGGUCUCCCCCAGGAGAUCUAGAGCUGCCAGCACUGGCUUCCACCCUCUGUAACGGCUUUGAGGUCAUGGCUCCUUUUGCCAUCUCUAAAGAGUGUGACCCAAAUGAGGAAUGGCCAUGGGAGGCUCACCAGGCGCAGAAUUUAGGAGAGAAAAGCUUUGCCAAGAGUGGUGAACAGAGCUAGGAUGCUGUGUUAACAUGCCACUUUGCAAUAUUUGUGGUUGUCUGCUGCAUUCAUGUCCCAGGGCUGCCAGAACAAAGUACCACAAAGUGGCUGGCUUAGAACAACAGAAAUGUCUCAGUUCUUGAGGCCAGAAAUCUGAAAUUAAGGUGCAGUUCCAUGCUCCCUCCGAAAUCCUGGGAGAAUGCUUCUUGCAUCUUCUCAAUAUUCUGUGAUUUGCUGACAGUCACUGGAGUCCCUUGGCUUGCAGCUGUGAUACUCCAAUGUCACGUGUUUUCCUCUAUGUCUCUGUCCUCACAUGCCAGUUUCUUACAAGGACACCGGUUAUAUUGAAUUAGGAGCCCACCUGUAUUAGUUCAUUCUCAUGCUGCUGUAAAGGACUGCUCAGGACUGGGUAAUUUAUAAAGGAAACAGGUUUAAUUGACUUACAGUUCUGCAUGGCUGAGAAGGCCUUAGGAAACUUACAAUCAUGGCAGAAGGUGAAGAAGAAGCAAGGCACCUUCUUCACAAGACAGCAGCAGGGAGAAGUGCAAGAGGCUUAUGAAACCAUCAGAUCUCGUGAGAACUCACUCACUAUCAGAGAACAGCAUGGGGGAAACUGCUCCCAUGAUCCACUCACUUCCCAUCAGGUCCCUCCCACAACACGUAGGGAUUAUGGGAACUACAAUUGAAGAUGAGACUUGGGUGGGGACACAGCCAAACCAUAUCACCACCCCACAACAGUAUGAUGUCAUCUUAGCUAAUUACAUCUACAAUGAUCUUAUUUCCAAAUAAGGUCACAUUCUGAGGUUCUAGGGGGUUAAGCCUUUGGCAUAUCUUUGUUUUGGUGGGGAAGGGGACCAAAAUUCAACCAGUAACAAGUACCAAGGAAGGAACUCAGAUAUGGGAAUCAUGAGAAUCUUAUUUCUACUUUUCCAUUUGCUUUGGAGUGUUUGAAGCCCAGCGGACCUAAAAUUCACAUCUAGACCUAGUCUGUAUGCAGAAUCCACUCCAUAUGGCAUGGCUCCUUGUGCUAAAUGCAAUUGUGGAGCCCCUUGUUAAAAAAUUAUUAAGCAUUUCAGAACAACAACUACAGAGCAUUUAACCAAAGGCAGGCCCCCUCUAAGACUGAGCCCUGUGAGGCUGCACAGGCCACACCCCAGGGAGCUGGGCCUGUCUGCUAUCAUGCAGAGGGCAGGGGUCGGGGAGCUGAAAGGUGAUUUCAGCUUUUCAGGUUUUAGGUUUGAACUGCUGGUAGCAGGUUGAUGGAGAUCUGAGGACCACUUACAUUUUCUAUAUCAUGACUUUGCUUCAGGCAAAAAAUUCAUACUAGCAGGAGGGAAUCUCCAGCCAUCUGAAACACAGGGAAUGCUGCCUACCUCAGAGAGAAUCAAUGAGAAAAGUAGAGGAAACAAGGCAUAAUUUUUAAGUGGCUGCUUAUCUUUGUUAGGGGGAAAAACACCAAAAACUAUCUUAAGCCAAAGAUAGAGUUUUUUCUGCUAAAUAAAUGGCUUUUCACUCCAUGAUAUAUGAUUUAUAACCAUUUUCAUUUGCUUAAGUUCAGCUUCCAUUUUAAAGAAAAGCUUUAGUUCCCAAGUUUCCAUUAAUACAUACCACACUGUGUACUGGUAUAAAUUAUGUGAAAUUGAAUUAUUUUUCAAUAAGCUGGGUUUCAUAAUUUUAUUGUCCAAUAAAUUCAAAGCUGAGAUUAAUAAGUAUUCUGUUAAAACCAGUGAGGGGAUAAUUUCAUUCCCAAGUAGAUAGUGUUUUGUAUGUCCAUGUUCAAACAUGAUGCAGAAAUUGAGUCCUGAUUUACCUCCCCACCUUGAACAGCUAAAAAACAGGACAAAAUACUUGAAACAAUGGCUUUAAGACAUGGGUCAAAGGAUACUAUGGGAAAUUGACCCUGAUAAGAAGGGGAACAAAAAAAGUGAACUCUAGGAUUGCUCCAGUUUCCUUUCUGGAGAGAGUCCGUGGGCUGUGACACAGGGAGGGGACCCAAACAGAGCCCAGCUAAUUGCACUGAGUUGAGGAAACAGAAUUCUGAGUUUGGGAAGACAAAGGUGCUGAAAUUCUCAGGAUGGAAUACCAAGAGGUAUGAGAAGAGUUGCACAGAGAGAGAGAGAGAGAGAGAGAGCUCUAGUGAUUUGUAGAGGGUCCCACCAAUUCAUCAGCAGAGUACUGACAGGCACAUGCCUAAGAGCAAUCUACUGAGGCCAAAGAAAAAAGCUCCAGGAAAGAGCAGGUGAAAUAAUUUCUGGUACUCGCACAGGCCCUGAAAGAGCAGGUACAGUGAGAAGGGGACAUUGCCUACUGAUAAAGGAAUUAGUACCUCAGGAGGAGCUAACAGUUUCAAAUACCUGUGCCCCUAGUAAGAGAAAUUCA